CGCGGGGUGGAGCAGUCUGGUAGCUCGUCGGGCUCAUAACCCGAAGGUUGCCGGUUCGAAUCCGGCCCCCGCAA
This 74-nucleotide transfer RNA is filed under the name Limnochorda pilosa. It matches the Rfam family "tRNA". Rfam says of the family: Transfer RNA (tRNA) molecules are approximately 80 nucleotides in length. Their secondary structure includes four short double-helical elements and three loops (D, anti-codon, and T loops). Further hydrogen bonds mediate the characteristic L-shaped molecular structure. tRNAs have two regions of fundamental functional importance: the anti-codon, which is responsible for specific mRNA codon recognition, and the 3' end, to which the tRNAs corresponding amino acid is attached (by aminoacyl-tRNA synthetases). tRNAs cope with the degeneracy of the genetic code in two manners: having more than one tRNA (with a specific anti-codon) for a particular amino acid; and 'wobble' base-pairing, i.e. permitting non-standard base-pairing at the 3rd anti-codon position. The record is from Rfam by way of RNAcentral. Lineage: Bacteria; Bacillati; Bacillota; Limnochordia; Limnochordales; Limnochordaceae.